Molecule: ribosomal RNA, 430 nt
Filed under: uncultured archaeon
Lineage: Archaea
Description: bacterial SSU rRNA
Rfam family: Archaeal small subunit ribosomal RNA
Source: RNAcentral
AACCAGCUCUUCAAGUGGUCGGGAUAAUUAUUGGGCUUAAAGUGUCCGUAGCUGGUAGGGUAAGUUCCUGGUAAAAUUGGGCAGCUUAACUGUCCUUAUGCUAGGAAUACUGCUUUACUAGAGGGCGGGAGAGGUCUGAGGUACUACAGGGGUAGGGGUGAAAUCUUAUAAUCCUUGUAGGACCACCAGUGGCGAAAGCGUCAGACUGGAACGCGCCUGACAGUGAGGGACGAAAGCCAGGGGGAGCGAACCGGAUUAGAUACCCGGGUAGUCCUGGCCGUAAACGAUGCACACUAGAUGAUGGUGCGGCCAUGAGCCGUAUCAGUGUCGUAGGGAAACCGUUAAGUGUGCCGCCUGGGAAGUACGGUCGCAAGGCUUAAACUUAAAGGAAUUGGCGGGGGAGCACCACAAGGGGUGAAGCCUGCGGUUC